CCAAUAGCGUAUAUUAAAGUUGUUGCAGUUAAAAAGCUCGUAGUUGAAUUUCGGGAUCAAUGUUUCGGUCAUGCCGUUGGUAUGUACUGAUAUUAUUGGUUUCUCACCUUCUAAAGAACCGUAAUGCCAUUAAUUUGGUGUCACGGGGAAUUAGGACUGUUACUUUGAAAAAAUUAGAGUGUUUAAAGCAGGCUAACGCUUGAAUACAUUAGCAUGGAAUAAUGAAAUAGGACGUUCGAUCUUAUUUUGUUGGUUUCUAAGAUUGACGUAAUGAUUAAUAGGGAUAGUUGGGGGCAUUAGUAUUCAAUUGUCAGAGGUGAAAUUCUUGGAUUUAUUGAAGACUAACUACUGCGAAAGCAUUUGCCAAGGAUGUUUUCAUUAAUCAAGAACGAAAGUUAGGGGAUCGAAGACGAUCAGAUACCGUCGUAGUCUUAACCAUAAACUAUGCCGACUAGGGAUCGGAUGAUGUUAAUUUUUUAAUGACUCAUUCGGCGCCUUACG
This 501-nucleotide ribosomal RNA is filed under the name uncultured Glomeromycotina. RNAcentral's name for it is "partial small subunit ribosomal RNA". It matches the Rfam family "Eukaryotic small subunit ribosomal RNA", at positions 591 to 1092 of the family's 1831-position model. Lineage: Eukaryota; Fungi; Glomeromycota. The record is from RNAcentral.